This 253-nucleotide ribosomal RNA is filed under the name uncultured bacterium. Its description in RNAcentral is "partial 16S ribosomal RNA". It matches the Rfam family "Bacterial small subunit ribosomal RNA", at positions 524 to 776 of the family's 1533-position model. The record is from RNAcentral.
UACGUGGGGUGCAAGCGUUGUUCGGAUUUACUGGGCGUAAAGGGCGCGUAGGCGGCGCAACAAGUCACUUGUGAAAUCUCCGGGCUUAACCCGGAGCGGCCAAGUGAUACUGUCGUGCUAGAGUGCGGAAGGGGCGACUGGAAUUCUCGGUGUAGCGGUGAAAUGCGUAGAUAUCGAGAGGAACACCUGCGGCGAAGGCGGGUAGCUGGGCCGACACUGACGCUGAGGCGCGAAAGCCAGGGGAGCGAACGGG